Molecule: RNA transcript, 1112 nt
Organism: Cucurbita maxima (winter squash)
Lineage: Eukaryota; Viridiplantae; Streptophyta; Magnoliopsida; Cucurbitales; Cucurbitaceae
Gene name: bZIP transcription factor 2
Exons: 4
Source: RefSeq, a predicted model, not a curated record
AAGUCUCAACUAUUUUCAAAUUUUUAUUUACUGUUUCCCUUCUUUGGAACUUGUGUUCAUUCUCAUUCGUUUCUAAUCUUAUAGCUUUAGUUUGAGCAAGAUCAAUUUACUUAAUUAGCAAGUUUUUAGAGCUUGUUAUGGACACGGAGGCUUGAGUUGCCAUAUUCUUGAAGGUCCUAUCUUUAUUUUUCUGGCUUGAGCCUCUAACGCAUGAGCAAUCUAUGCUCAACAAAGCUAUUCAUAGAUUCCAGGUAUGAACAGCGCUUUAGUGAGUAUCUUACCCACUUUUCUGUCGCAUCUAAGCUUGGAAAUACUUGUGCAAUAAAAAGUUGUAUUUGCAUUGAGAUACGCGUUAAAAGUAAGCAGAUUUGGCAGUAUUACAUUGGGGUUACAAAAGCAACUUGCAAAGGGGUACCUGACGACGACAUCUCAAGUUCCUGGCGGCAUGGUGUCUAGUUAAGGUAAAAAGUUCAAUUUAUAGGGGAGAGGUGCAGAACUUGCAUGUUAGCCUCCAUUACCGGAAACAAAUCUUCAUGAUACCUGGUAUCAUCAUAGGGGAAACAAAACUGUCUAAAGAAAACAACGUUUAGCUCACUCCUCCAAGGUUUCAUGCCUUAUUGGGUCCCAUGUGUCUCUCCCAGUUCUUCCAUAAAUACCCAACACUUCCUCUUCCUUCAUCCCCUUUGUUCUCUCUCUCACAGUUUAGUUUCGUUUACAUGGCAAUCCUGAAUAUGGAGGAAGAAGUUGGGUUUCAGGGUGAGGUACCUGAGAAUCAUCAGGAGUUCACUGCCACUGAAAUCCAAGAGCUUUUGUCACUCUUUCUAGUCAACGACGGGCCUCCGAGUUCCGGUUCCGAUUCACAGGGUUCGAUGCCGACCUCGGCAGCUUGUUCAACCAAUGACGACGAGAGGAAGCUGCGUCGGAUGAUAUCAAAUCGGGAGUCGGCCCGGCGGUCACGGUGUAGGAAAAAGAGGCAUUUGGAAGAUCUGACUAAUGAGGUGAACCGGUUGAUGAUCCAGAACCGGGAAUUGAAGGAUCAGCUGGGCCGGAUUCUCAGCCGCCGCCAUAUGGUUCUGAGAGAAAAUGAUUGGUUGUGGAUGGAGUCCGUGGGU